AUGCUUCGCCUUCUUCACAUCCGGUUUCUCCACCACGUUACUGCUGCUCGUCUUAGAAUCCCAAGCACAGCCACAGCAAACACCCCUCCCCAUUUCCUCCCACGCCCAUUCCCCCAACCUUUCUCCCACAUAUCCCUCGCACCAAACGAUUCCUCAUCCCUGACCGUCCAUUUCCUCAAGAAGUCUUGCGGCCUCUCCUCCGAAGCCGCCCUCUCCGUGGCCACCAAAAUCCAUCUCAAGAACACCAAGAAUCCCCACUCUGUGCUCGCCCUCCUCAAGUACUUCGGCUUCUCCAAGCCCGACAUCGGCCGUCUCAUCACCCGUCGACCCGACCUCCUCCUCGCCCGCCCCGACAAAACCCUCCAGCCCAAGCUGGAGUUCUACCGGGGCAUCGGUCUCUCCGGCGCGGCCCUCGCCAAGCUCCUCUCUGGAAUUCCCCACCUGCUGCUCCGGAGCUUGGAGAAGCGACUGCUCCCAAACUUCCAUCUCCUCAAGUCCAUGCUCGACACAAACGAGAACGUCAUCUCAGCUGUGAGGAAUUCUCCUCGUUUGCUUGUCUCUGACCUCCCCAAGGUGUUGCUUCCUAAGAUCCACAGUUUGAUGAACUACGGCAUGCCGCCGGCUGUAAUCUUCACAUUGCUCACCACCCACCCGAAAUCUCUGAUAGAGAAGGCCAAUCGCUUUGAGGAGAUCUUUGAUGUGAUCAAGGAUCUGGGGAUUAGUCCUUCGAGUACCAUGUACGCCCAUGCCUUCGGUGUGCUCUCUAAAUUGCCCAAGACAACGGUGAAGAGGAGGUUGGAGAAUUAUUUGAGCUUAGGCUGGUCGGAGGAGCAAGUCUUUCGGGCGUUUGCCAAGCAUCCAUACUGCAUGUCGGCGUCGGAUGACAAGAUAAGGAAGAACAUGGAGUUCUUCGCAGCGAAGCUCAAAUGGGGGCCGGACUAUGUGUCCGCGAAUCCGGUGCUUCUGUCGCUCAGUUUCAAGAAGAGGAUUGUUCCAAGGUGUUUGGUUUUGGGAAUGCUAACGUCCAAGGGCCUGGUGAAGCAUGGUGUGAAAGCACGGCACUUGAUGAUGGCGGAGAAGAAGUUCCUUGAGGAUUAUGUGAUCAAGUACCAGGUUGAGGUCCCGGAAGUUGUUGAUGCUAUGGAAGGCAACGAGUUGGGACUGCUAGUCUUGGAGAUGGGAAACCUGGGAGUUGAUGGGAAUAAGCAUUUGGAUGCAGCUUAAAUGAUGCAGAUUUUGUUGGGUGUUUAAACAACAAAAGAUUCAUAUCCAAUUAUACUUUCCUUAUGGCUGGAGGUGUACUCAUGAAGAAGUGCUACAUUUAGAGACGUGCUUCUUUUAUUAAUUGCUUCAUGACGAGUAUGUAGCACUUGAGUGGGAUUCAGAAAGAAGAUAUCAUAUCUUGGAGAUCCCACGGCUUGAAUUGAGAUAUUGAAGAUCAAUCCAAAGCAUGCGUGCUGUUGAGAUACAUGUUGGAGGACUGCACCUAUUGCAACUUCAGACAAUGAUGAGUCAUUUGAUGAUGCCGAGGCCAUACACAUGGCCAAGGUCGACAUUUGGAAUCAUAAUACAUUAUCCGUAGCUGUAGAUAUCAAGCCUCGAAGGCAGCAGACAUCCAACCAUCACAUCCACCAUUUCAUAGCUCAACUGUUGGCAUGCCUAUUCAUAGCCCCACCAUGGUUGCCUAUGGCUCUUUCUGGAAGAGGUCAUAAGAGAUGUCCCUUGAUUUCCUUAUUGAUCCUUAGCCAUGUUGGACGGGGAUGAACUAUAUGUGUUGGUGUCUCGGUCAUUGUGCUAUCUCGAUCAUUGUGCUAUAAGGAGGCAUAGUCAUUAUAUUAAGAACUAUUUAUAAAAAGAUUAAUCAUACAAAAAAUUUUAAAUUAUUUGAAGAUUUUUAAUUUCAUCUUGAACUUCAAUAUAGUGCAAUCAUGUCAUCAAAUUUUUCAAUAAAUUUAAUUUGAAUCUUGGCAAUGAAUUUCAUUUGAUUGGCAUUACAGGAGCAUCACAUGGGGUCACAU
Elaeis guineensis (African oil palm) is the source of this 2018-nucleotide RNA transcript. RefSeq lists it as uncharacterized. The record is from RefSeq and is a predicted model, not a curated record. Lineage: Eukaryota; Viridiplantae; Streptophyta; Magnoliopsida; Arecales; Arecaceae.